CAAGGAAUAGUUUAAACUAAAAUAUUAAUUUUGGAGAUUAAAGAUAAUAUAAUUAUUUUCCUUGA
This 65-nucleotide transfer RNA is filed under the name Cucujoidea sp. 22 KM-2017. RNAcentral's name for it is "tRNA-Pro". Lineage: Eukaryota; Metazoa; Arthropoda; Insecta; Coleoptera. The record is from RNAcentral.